RNAcentral lists this transfer RNA (65 nucleotides) under Oryctes rhinoceros (rhinoceros beetle). RNAcentral's name for it is "tRNA-Cys". The record is from RNAcentral. Lineage: Eukaryota; Metazoa; Arthropoda; Insecta; Coleoptera; Scarabaeidae.
AGUCUUGUAGUCUAAUAAGAAGGACGAUAAAUUGCAAAUUUAUCAGUGGGGUACCCCUAAGGCUU